UGGGUCCUACGGGACGCAGCAGUGAGGAAUAUUGGUCAAUGGUCGGGAGACUGAACCAGCCAAGCCGCGUGAGGGAAGAAGGUACAGCGUAUCGUAAACCUCUUUUGUCAGGGAACAAAGGCGGGGACUAGUCCCCGGAUGAGGGUACCUGAAGAAAAAGCAUCGGCUAACUCCGUGCCAGCAGCCGCGGUAAUACGGAGGAUGCGAGCGUUAUCCGGAUUUAUUGGGUUUAAAGGGUGCGCAGGCGGCCUGGUAAGUCAGCGGUAGA
This 268-nucleotide ribosomal RNA is filed under the name uncultured bacterium. RNAcentral's name for it is "partial 16S ribosomal RNA". It matches the Rfam family "Bacterial small subunit ribosomal RNA", at positions 333 to 598 of the family's 1533-position model. The record is from RNAcentral.